UGGUGGAGUGAUUUGUCUGGUUAAUUCCGAUAACGAACGAGACUCUAGCCUACUAACUAGCAAGCGGAUCAGCGAGUCCGCGCUGCUUCUUAGAGGGACUACUGGCGUUUAGCCAUACGAAAUUGAGCAAUAACA
RNAcentral lists this ribosomal RNA (135 nucleotides) under uncultured eukaryote. RNAcentral describes it as "partial 18S ribosomal RNA". It matches the Rfam family "Eukaryotic small subunit ribosomal RNA", at positions 1299 to 1458 of the family's 1831-position model. The record is from RNAcentral.